RNAcentral lists this ribosomal RNA (253 nucleotides) under uncultured bacterium. RNAcentral describes it as "partial 16S ribosomal RNA". It matches the Rfam family "Bacterial small subunit ribosomal RNA", at positions 524 to 776 of the family's 1533-position model. The record is from RNAcentral.
UACGGAGGGUGCGAGCGUUGUCCGGAAUCACUGGGCGUAAAGGGCGCGUAGGCGGCCUGAUAAGUAGGGGGUGAAAUCCUGCGGCUUAACCGCAGGGCUGCCUUCUAAACUGUCAGGCUUGAGCACAGUAGAGGCAGGUGGAAUUCCCGGUGUAGAGGUGAAAUUCGUAGAUAUUGGGAAGAACACCAGUGGCGAAGGCGGCUCACUGGCCCGUAACUGACGCUGAGGUGCGAAAGCGUGGGGAGCAAACAGG